GCGUUCGUGGUGCAGUGGUCAGCACGAUCGGCGCGUAUUCGAGAGGUCCGGGGUUCGAAUCCCGGCAGGAGUA
RNAcentral lists this transfer RNA (73 nucleotides) under Stegodyphus mimosarum. It matches the Rfam family "tRNA". Rfam says of the family: Transfer RNA (tRNA) molecules are approximately 80 nucleotides in length. Their secondary structure includes four short double-helical elements and three loops (D, anti-codon, and T loops). Further hydrogen bonds mediate the characteristic L-shaped molecular structure. tRNAs have two regions of fundamental functional importance: the anti-codon, which is responsible for specific mRNA codon recognition, and the 3' end, to which the tRNAs corresponding amino acid is attached (by aminoacyl-tRNA synthetases). tRNAs cope with the degeneracy of the genetic code in two manners: having more than one tRNA (with a specific anti-codon) for a particular amino acid; and 'wobble' base-pairing, i.e. permitting non-standard base-pairing at the 3rd anti-codon position. The record is from Rfam by way of RNAcentral. Lineage: Eukaryota; Metazoa; Arthropoda; Arachnida; Araneae; Eresidae.